Molecule: ribosomal RNA, 253 nt
Filed under: uncultured bacterium
Lineage: Bacteria
Description: partial 16S ribosomal RNA
Rfam family: Bacterial small subunit ribosomal RNA
Source: RNAcentral
UACGGAGGGUGCAAGCGUUAUCCAGAUUCACUGGGUUUAAAGGGUGCGUAGGCGGGCAGGUAAGUCCGUGGUGAAAUCUCUGAGCUUAACUCAGAAACUGCCAUGGAUACUAUUUGUCUUGAAUGUUGUGGAGGUAAGCGGAAUAUGUCAUGUAGCGGUGAAAUGCUUAGAUAUGACAUAGAACACCAAUUGCGAAGGCAGCUUACUACACAAAUAUUGACGCUGAGGCACGAAAGCGUGGGGAUCAAACAGG